GACGAACGCUGGCGGCGUGCUUAACACAUGCAAGUCGAACGGAAAGGCCUUUUCGGAGGUACUCGAGUGGCGAACGGGUGAGUAACACGUGGGUGAUCUGCCCUGCACUCUGGGAUAAGCCUGGGAAACUGGGUCUAAUACCGGAUAGGACCGCACUUUAGUGUGUGUGGUGGGAAGUUUUUUCGGUGUAGGAUGAGCCCGCGGCCUAUCAGCUUGUUGGUGGGGUAAUGGCCUACCAAGGCGGCGACGGGUAGCCGGACUGAGAGGUUGGUCGGCCACAUUGGGACUGAGAUACGGCCCAGACUCCUACGGGAGGCAGCAGUGGGGAAUAUUGCACAAUGGGCGCAAGCCUGAUGCAGCGACGCCGCGUGGGGGAUGACGGCCUUCGGGUUGUAAACUCCUUUCGCCAGGGACGAAGCGUUUUGUGACGGUACCUGGAGAAGAAGCACCGGCUAACUACGU
RNAcentral lists this ribosomal RNA (462 nucleotides) under uncultured bacterium. RNAcentral describes it as "partial 16S ribosomal RNA". It matches the Rfam family "Bacterial small subunit ribosomal RNA", at positions 28 to 506 of the family's 1533-position model. The record is from RNAcentral.